UUUUUUCCCUUGAAAUUGUGAAGGUUCAUGAAGGAAACAUUGCGAAGAUAGUUUGGGUUCCGCCAAAGUAUGGUGAUGCAGUUGCAUGUAUUUCCUCUGAUGGAAUUGUUUCAUUAUUGGAAGAGAUUGUCGAAGGCUGAAUUUCAAAAUGUUAUUGAAUCAGUAUCUUCAUUUGGAAAGGCUGUGUGCCUCUCUGCGUCCAUAUCUUUGAAUCCGCAAAAGGGCCAUGAAUCCCGCUUCAUUGUAGGUUUCAAUUCAAAUACACCAGAGCUUAAUUCUUCCAAGGUAUGGGAGGUAAUCAAGCAAAUUAGAUAAGGUAUUCAAACUACAAACACAAUAUCAAAGCAAAAUUUAAGGAGGCUGACAUAUCUAUGAAAGUUGACGUUACACUCAAAAAAUCUGAAUCUCAACUAGAUUAUAUUCAACAAUUGUUGUUAAAGUCGAUGAGUAUAUCAUUGUCUAUGGAGCUAAAAUUGGAACAUGAGACAAGUGAAGUGUUUGUUAUUGGACAAAGCGAUAUAGUGGAGUUGUGUAUGGGUAAUCGAGAGUUGUGCAUCACUAUUAUAUAAAUAUGGUUGACAUAUAUGCAUCGCCUUUGUAUUGACUUGGCAGUAGUGACGUGUAUGGAUUCAUUGAUCCAUGUUUCAUCCAGAGUAAAUAUGAUUCUAUUGGGGCUCAAAAAUACAUACAAAAUAAGUUGUAGCACGAUCAAAAAUAGUGCUAUCUGUUACCUUAUCUCAACAAAGCUUUGGGUGAAUAUAAUAAGUUGCGAAGAUUAAGAAAGAAUAAGCUCACACGGAGCAUUCCCACUAUAAG
Cicer arietinum (chickpea) is the source of this 816-nucleotide RNA transcript. It is a transcript of the gene named protein SEH1-like, with no coding region annotated. Lineage: Eukaryota; Viridiplantae; Streptophyta; Magnoliopsida; Fabales; Fabaceae. The record is from RefSeq and is a predicted model, not a curated record.